UUUCAAAAAUGUAAUAAAUGAAGCAUCGGAGUUAUUCUUCCUCACCGACUAAAACGUUCUUGUAAGCAGAUUUCUCCAAAAUGUAGUCGAAGGGAGUGAAAUCGAAAUCUGGAACUGGUGGUGAUCUCGGUGGGGCCUGAACGACGACGGUCCGAUCCAUAAACAGUAUGUCGUAUUCAUGCUUUGUUGCUCUGACUGAGUCAGUUGACUUACGGACCAAGAAAGAGGUGAUCGUCUUCCACUCAUUUUCAACGAAUCGGUCUUCGUAAAACGGAGCAAGGCGACGAUCAACGGUGGCCUCAAUACGGUUAUUCUUUACAUACAGAACAUGAUAGUAGACAGUUUAAUAUACAAGUUAAGCGAAUGAACGAGAAAAACACAUAAUGAUUUGACGGAAAUUACCGCGUAAUCUGCCAGGAUAAGGCCGAGUUCGAAGACGUUGGGCGAUAUAACCUUCUUGAAGACUCUCAAGUCAAAGACAUAAAUUCGCCACCCAGUGAUCAGAGGACACAAUUCUGAGACCAUAUGAAACCCCUCCAUCUCACGGAUAGCAAGAACAAGCGAAUCGAAAGACUAAAUUUUUAUUUGUGAAUGAUAUAACUGCCGGCACAAGAAAUGGGUUUAAAAUGAGGAUUGUGGAUAAAAUUAAGGAAGGGAGGAGACUUAAAUAGAGGAAAUCUGGAACGGCUACAGUUAUUAAUGCGGUUCCAACUACACUUGAUUCAAAUUUUUGGUAAUAGCUUGGUAACCGUCAUAUAGGGUAAUUAUUACGUUGAUUUGACAAUAAACAUCAACAGUUACGUCCUUUCCAUUAAAUACCAACACAACCACAGUAUACCCAACCAUGUCUCCAACUCCGUUCAUUUAAGAGGGGGAAUAAGUUAGAUUUUCAAAAAACUUAU
RNAcentral lists this small RNA (902 nucleotides) under Arabidopsis thaliana (thale cress). RNAcentral's name for it is "ATSL196460". The record is from RNAcentral. Lineage: Eukaryota; Viridiplantae; Streptophyta; Magnoliopsida; Brassicales; Brassicaceae.